Molecule: ribosomal RNA, 273 nt
Filed under: uncultured bacterium
Lineage: Bacteria
Description: partial 16S ribosomal RNA
Rfam family: Bacterial small subunit ribosomal RNA
Source: RNAcentral
UACAGAGGGUGCAAGCGUUGUUCGGAAUUAUUGGGCGUAAAGCGCGUGUAGGCGGCAUGGCAAGUCGGGUGUGAAAGCCCUCGGCUCAACCGAGGAAGUGCGCCCGAAACUGCUGUGCUUGAGUGCCGGAGAGGGUCGCGGAAUUCCCCAAGUAGAGGUGAAAUUCGUAGAUAUGGGGAGGAACACCGGUGGCGAAGGCGGCGACCUGGACGGUAACUGACGCUGAGACGCGAAAGCGUGGGGAGCAAACAGGAUUAGAAACCCCCGUAGUCC